Molecule: long non-coding RNA, 1498 nt
Filed under: Phoenix dactylifera (date palm)
Lineage: Eukaryota; Viridiplantae; Streptophyta; Magnoliopsida; Arecales; Arecaceae
Description: long non-coding RNA (PDAC_LNC010793)
Source: RNAcentral
UGGAAUGAAACAAAAAAUAUAAAAUUUACAUAGAAAUUAUUUAUUUAUAAUUGUAUGCUUCCAAUAUAUUUUGUAAUGAUCUUUUAUAUAUUUCUAAUCUUUAGGCAUUGGCAAUGAUUAUGCAUUAAUAUUUGGACACAUGAUAUUAAUUAGUAUUUUUUAAGUAGCGAAUUAGUGUCAUAUUUAUUUAGUUUGAACUUUUCAUGUGACAUAUUUGUUGGAUGGUACAUGAUAAUUAAUAUCAAUAAAUGAUGUGUGAUGCGUUCGCAAAACUGCUCUUCCAAAUGUAGGAGAAUUGCAUAAGUAGUAUAAUUCGGAAGUCCGAGGUCGAUUCCUCAAGGAGCAGUCUAUGUGUUAUUAGCAUAAAUUCAGAUGCAAUUUCAGAUGGUUUCUAGAAAUGAAAAGUAGAGAAUAAUAAAUAAAUAAACUAAGUUUGAUUCCUCAAAGAGCGGCCUAUGCGUUAUUAGCAAAAUUUCAGAUUGUUUCUUGAAGUUGAGAGAAACUAAUAAUUAGAUUAAGUUCAAUAAUAUAAAGAUGGUUAAGGAUCCGAAAAUCCUCCUUGACAAUAUUACAUCCAAGUUAUAAACUCUAUGGUUUCUGAUUUAAAGGUUCAAACGUAGAAUAGAUCUACUCAUGGGGCAUAUUACUUGAACACAUGAAUUCAAUUUCUAAGCAUUCAUCAUGCCGGUUACGUCUACGACGAAUCAAAUACUAAAGUAAUCCAUGUAUCAAUAGAUAUAAACCAUUAAAGAAUUAUCUACAACAUAAACAAACAAGAAACCAAAACAUAUCAAUUGAUGUAAAUUGACUAGAACAAAAGUUUAUAGUUUACUUCAAGGAAAUAACAUGUCAAGGGUUCAUCCAUCACCCUUCACCAAAGUAAUCAGCCCUCGAUGAAGUUGAGGCUCCUCUUCAUACUUUCUUUGUAAUGCCGCCUUUCCUCCCUCCGAACGGCGAGUUUCCACAAGUAUAUACAGGGUUUAGGGACUUAAAAUCCUAGGAAACAUGGCUUAGACAUGCUUGCAUGCAUUUUUGCCAACUUUACCCUCGAGUACCAACGUCAGCAUGAAGUUCAGGAGGCUCCCCAGAUCGUAUCCAAUCUCAAUUGGACUUCUGUAACUUCCGAAAUCAUCAAAAUACUACACAAAAGUCCAAUCUGUUAGGGCUCAUGCUGACAGUUUAGAAAAAUCUAACUUUGCAACCUCAUAAAUUUCUCUCCGAGGUUCCAAUUGACCUGAUUCUUGAUGCAUAUGAAAUCUUAACAUAUCUACUUCAUCUCCACCAAAUUUUAUUUCAUUUAAACUGCAAUGGGGCAUUCAAUCUCCUUAACUCCAUUUGGGAUGUUGAAGACAGAUGGUUGGACUUGUUAGAUGUAUGCCCUAGAAGCCAAUCUGGCUGACACAUUAUUAAUUCUAGGAUAUAAUUUUGUACUUGACUUUAUUAUUAUUAAAUAAUAAACGGCAUCUUUUUCCAUUCAUAUUGUUUAUGUGUCUAUGAA